Molecule: long non-coding RNA, 2921 nt
Organism: Micropterus salmoides (largemouth bass)
Lineage: Eukaryota; Metazoa; Chordata; Actinopteri; Centrarchiformes; Centrarchidae
Exons: 3
Source: RefSeq, a predicted model, not a curated record
UUAAAAGUGAUACUGGGUGUGCGAGAGCUGUAGUGCUCUCAGAGAAGCCACAACUAGUGUUAUUCAAUCAGACUUCCCCUGAGGCAGCUCUGACUCAGAGAUAUUAUAUUCAUUCACUGUGAAGGUGAAGAAUUAAAAUGUUUUAUGUGUUGUCACACCAUCAGCAUUGGAGCAUGAGAAUGAGCAACUUGUGGUGAAGCCGUGGUAUAAAACCUUUUGAAUGUUCAAGUGGACAGUGUUACCAACACACAUCAAAUCCGUCAGGUGUAAAAUGCAAUAAGUGCAAAUGUGAAGUCAGUCGUAUGUUGGCUCACCAUCCAAGGCUUUCAACCGGUCACUAUUAGCUCUCAUUCCACAGUUUAAUAUAACCAAACCAUACAUUCUGUAGGUUUUCAUUAAAGUCUGUCAUGGGAGCAAUGUAUUUUCUUACCUAAUAUCCCUCCAGUGUAAUGUACUGCUGUGUCUGAGCAGCAGACAGCUGGUGUCUCAUAUGGGCUACUCGUAUCCAUGCCUUUACCGACAACAGCUAUUCAUCAAGAAUUGCUAACAGACACAGCGCAUAAAACAAAGGUUUCAUAACUUAUUUUAAUUAAAUUGUCCAAUCUGACAGAGUUCAUUGUUUUUACUGUUUGUUGUGGUUUCAAUCUUGAACAAGAGAUUAAAGCUUCUCUUUGUGCGCUCUCUGUAAUCAGUGUGCCGUCUCUGUGCCCUCCUUCCAUGCCGGGCUCACGAGGAGUCACAAGCCCGUGUAAACCGACCCCCGACCCUCAUGUGACGCUUUAUUGCUGAGUCACAGCAUCAGAGAGCAAGAGUAUUGUUUACAAACGUGAUAGAUUUACAGUGCUAUAACUGACAGGUAGCACGCUACAAAAAGCAAAUGGCUUAAUAGGUAAACAAGGCAAAAAAAUAAAAUUAAAAAAAGGGCUGAUAUCAUUAUUAUAGUAAUAAAAGCAACCACUUGAAAAUAUUAUAUUCUCCAGUCAUCUGACUAAAAACAGGCAUUGCGUGAAGAAUUCUGACCCCUUAAGCACGGAAAAAUAUCAGUGAGUAAUAAAAGACUGGCCAAUGCGUGCAAAGCAAUGUGACAGAGCAAAAAAAUAAAUAAAUAAAAACACUUCUUAACCCUCAUGCCCUUCUAGUGCCAACUGUUAAGACUUGGCUGGCUGAGAGGAAUGGCUGGCUGGGGAUCAGCCUAAAAAUCAGACCCUGCUGUUCUCAUUAAGAAUAUUAUAUUGUGACCUGCUGUUUUAUGUUCAUUGUCAUUAAGGGGGGAAAACGAAUUGCUUUGUUAACAAAAAAAAAAUUGAAAAACACUCCUGUGCCAUUUUCUAAAAAGAAAUAAUAUGAAUGUACUACUGCCAAAUUGUUCUGACUACUUUCUAUGCAAGUCUAAAUGAUUUUGCAUUUUCUCUUUACAUUCAUCCAAAACAUAUUUUACUUACUUUAAUUCAGUUGCUUGCUGAAGUAUAAUGUAGCAACAUCAACGAGCAGUCCAGAUUGAAUGUGUAUCACGUUCAAACUCAGAUGUGCAACAAGCUGAGGUGCCCUUAAAAUGCCGGGUUUUUGAGCUGAAGUGUGGUUUUUCUUUUGCUGAGAACGCAACAUAAACUAAUAUAAAAAUACAGUUGCCACAGAUUCCCCCAUUUCCUUGUGAGCUCUCAACCGGUGGGACCACCAAAGAAGACGUGCAGCAUCAACUACCAGAACAAACUUUGCCAUAUUACUGUUAGGAGACCUGCCAUCUUGUGUCAGUGUGAACCCUACUUCCUGGUAUGAUUCAAAGCAAAGUAUAAAUAAUAAUAGAUCUGUUAUGUUUCUGUAUUCCUCAUUAUGCCUUCCAGUGACACAUCCUACGACAGGAUUGGUAUUAGUGAUGAGCUCAAAAUGUGGUUAAAACAAAAUCUGUUUCCCAGAAAAAAGGAUCCUCCCUUUCAGAAUUACAGGAACUGAAGUGGAGAAAGAUAAACACCUUGGUGUACACUGGAAAAUUAGUACAGCUGUUAUUUAUGGUAAAAGGCCUGUUCCAUGCGUCUCUUUGUAAGCAUACAAAAUACUUAAAUGUGCAGCAGUAUGCUUGUAUUUGCAAGUGUUUUAUGCAUCUGUAUGCUCUGUGGCAAUGCAUAAAAAGGGUGAUACCAAGAGUUUAAAUGAGACCACAAACCACUAGAAGAGUAUAUCUUGAAUCUGCUGAGGAGGAAUUUCACGGAAGUAGUUGUCAAGAUACAGUAGCCGGGAUUUGACAAUCCAGGGGAGGAAUGGGAUAAGGCUUUCCUGCUGAGCUGAUGCGCAACAAUGCUGGGAAACAGGAAAGUGGCGUGGUCUGACGGGUUGACGUGCGUUCUCUUGACAGCUACUUACUGCUCAGCACUGAUACUACACAGCUAUCCAGGAUGAGAGAAAAAUCACUUUGAACGCGAAAGGAAAAGGAGGGUCCAAGUUCUUUGGGAAAGACACAAGGCACUUUCUGAACGAAUCAAUACUGGUCUUGGUGGUGAUUAGAGCGCUGAUGGAUCAGAGCCAGGCUGCCCUUUUAAUGGUCAUUAUCCCAUCCUACUUUGCCUGGCUGAUGCAGCCAGCGUCUGCUAUCUGCUGCUGAAGCUGAGGCACCGCCGAAGUAAGAAAAAGGGGUUAUAUUUUCAAUGUAUCAAAAAGCAUUAAACAAAGUAGACAUGGACUAGUCUUUGCGAUCUGGGCUGACUCCAUUUACCAAGAACAUUUCAGACGGGGAGAAAACACUUCAUUUAGGGAAAGGCUGAUGACAAAUAUUAAACUUUCUAUGUACCUUUUAACAAUUCAAUCUGCCUCAGUUAAAUUAUCUACCUGUAUAAUAUCAGAGGGCCUAGCACAUUAGCAACAAGUUGGUUUAAAUGUAAUCCUUCACAGACACAUUCAUAGAAACAGUACAAUGAGAUGUUGAUGUG